Molecule: ribosomal RNA, 495 nt
Filed under: Clavispora lusitaniae
Lineage: Eukaryota; Fungi; Ascomycota; Pichiomycetes; Serinales; Metschnikowiaceae
Description: LSU rRNA
Rfam family: Eukaryotic large subunit ribosomal RNA
Source: RNAcentral
GAGGAAAAGAAACCAACAGGGAUUGCCCCAGUAACGGCGAGUGAAGCGGCAAAAGCUCAAAUUUGAAAUCCUGCGGGAAUUGUAAUUUGAAGGUUUCGUGGUCUGAGUCGGCCGCGCCCAAGUCCAUUGGAACAUGGCGCCUGGGAGGGUGAGAGCCCCGUAUGGCGCACGCCGACUCUUUGCACCGCGGCUCCGACGAGUCGAGUUGUUUGGGAAUGCAGCUCUAAGUGGGUGGUAAAUUCCAUCUAAAGCUAAAUAUUGGCGAGAGACCGAUAGCGAACAAGUACAGUGAUGGAAAGAUGAAAAGCACUUUGAAAAGAGAGUGAAACAGCACGUGAAAUUGUUGAAAGGGAAGGGCUUGCAAGCAGACACGGUUUUACCGGGCCAGCGUCGAAAAGGGGGGAGGAACAAGAACUCGAGAAUGUGGCGCGCACCUUCGGGCGCGCGUGUUAUAGCUCGUGUUGACGCCUCCAUCCCUUUUUCGAGGCCUGCGAU